GAUCAUGGCUCAGGAUGAACGCUAGCUACAGGCUUAACACAUGCAAGUCGAGGGGCAUCAGGAAGAAAGCUUGCUUUCUUUGCUGGCGACCGGCGCACGGGUGAGUAACACGUAUCCAACCUGCCCUUUACUCGGGGAUAGCCUUUCGAAAGAAAGAUUAAUACCCGAUGGGAUAAUCAUUCCCGGCAUGGUUUGAUUAUUAAAGGAUUCCGGUAAAGGAUGGGGAUGCGUUCCAUUAGGUUGUUGGUGAGGUAACCGG
Molecule: ribosomal RNA, 259 nt
Filed under: uncultured bacterium
Lineage: Bacteria
Description: partial 16S ribosomal RNA
Rfam family: Bacterial small subunit ribosomal RNA
Source: RNAcentral